RNAcentral lists this ribosomal RNA (497 nucleotides) under uncultured bacterium. Its description in RNAcentral is "partial 16S ribosomal RNA". It matches the Rfam family "Bacterial small subunit ribosomal RNA", at positions 28 to 507 of the family's 1533-position model. The record is from RNAcentral.
GAUGAACGCUGGCGGCGUGCCUAAUACAUGCAAGUCGAGCGAACGGACGAGAAGCUUGCUUCUCUGAUGUUAGCGGCGGACGGGUGAGUAACACGUGGAUAACCUACCUAUAAGACUGGGAUAACUUCGGGAAACCGGAGCUAAUACCGGAUGAUAUUUUGAACCGCAUGGUUCAAAAGUGAAAGACGGUCUUGCUGUCACUUAUAGAUGGAUCCGCGCUGCAUUAGCUAGUUGGUAAGGUAACGGCUUACCAAGGCAACGAUGCAUAGCCGACCUGAGAGGGUGAUCGGCCACACUGGAACUGAGACACGGUCCAGACUCCUACGGGAGGCAGCAGUAGGGAAUCUGCCGCAAUGGGCGAAAGCCUGACGGAGCAACGCCGCGUGAGUGAUGAAGGUCUUCGGAUCUUAAAACUCUGUUAUUAGGGAAGAACAUAUGUGUAAGUAACUGUGCACAUCUUGACGGUACCUAAUCAGAAAGCCACGGCUAACUACGUG